This 160-nucleotide ribosomal RNA is filed under the name uncultured Dialister sp. RNAcentral's name for it is "partial 16S ribosomal RNA". It matches the Rfam family "Bacterial small subunit ribosomal RNA", at positions 372 to 524 of the family's 1533-position model. The record is from RNAcentral. Lineage: Bacteria; Bacillati; Bacillota; Negativicutes; Veillonellales; Veillonellaceae.
UGGGCGAAAGCCUGACGGAGUAACGCCGCGUGGGUGAUGACGGCCUUCGGUUGUAAAACUCUGUGAUCCGGGACGAAAAGGCAGAGUGCGAAGAACAAACUGCAUUGACGGUACCGGAAAAGCAAGCCACGGCUAACUACGUGCCAGCAGCCGCGGUAAU